Rattus rattus (black rat) is the source of this 1235-nucleotide long non-coding RNA. RefSeq lists it as uncharacterized. NCBI's taxonomy places the organism in Eukaryota, Metazoa, Chordata, Mammalia, Rodentia, Muridae. The record is from RefSeq and is a predicted model, not a curated record. The transcript has 2 exons.
CUUAGGGUCACUGUAAGCAGGAGGCUGGUGUGAUUUCCAGUCUCAGAGUCCCGGUCGCCCGCGGGAACAAUAGCAGCCGCCUGCCCGGGAGGUCGGGCUCUCGGCACAAAGCCGGCUUGGUCCGCGCGGCUACAAGACUCGCGCGGUGACCCGGCUGCCGUCACUCGCCGGUGUUCCCGCGUCCACCUGGAACUCUCCGAGAAAGACAAACGCGGUUCCUCCUACUUUGGAGCAAGUCUGGGCCAGCUGGGAGCCGACCAGAAACCGCAAGCGGAGGAGAUGCUGGCGCUCCGGGUGAGCGCUAAGGGAGGGGGCGACACACAGUCCUGCGCCUGCCCAGCAGCGACGAGGAUAGCGCUCCAGGCACGCCGGAAGGGAAGGUCGGGGACGUCUCUGCACAGCACCCGAAGGGAGGGCCACUACUUUCUGAGCUCUAACCGCCGCCCACCAGCCCAGACCCCAGACCUCACACUUCAUAGCAAACCUGCACCCACGCUGUCCCUUGACCCAUUGUGACCCAGCAUUCUCCCUCCUACCCCAGUGACACUCACGUAGGUCUCUCUAUUCCUCUCUCUGAAGGCAGGACAAGAACAAUCUCAAUGAAUCAAGGUUUCUUAUUGACCCCAAGUCUGCCUGCAGGCCUCUGAGUGGGAGUAAGUAGGUCAAGGCUGCCACUGAACUUGGAGUAAACUUGAAUUCCAUUUAAAGUUACAAUAAAAGUAUGUGCAUAUCCAUCUACGUCACUCCCAACAUCUUUCCUGCCUAAUGCAGCAGCAAGACUAGUAAGUAUUUUUACUUCAGCUUUUUUGGAAAGUUCAUUUUAGUAGUAUAAAGGAAGAUGGAGGUUUCCACAGACAGGCAUGAACCUUGGAAUUGUUUGCACCAGGUCCGUUUGGGUGGAGUAGGUGGUGACACACUCCUAACUACCUUAACUACCUCUAGAGUAGCAAAUGCACUCUGUAAAUUAUAAAAGCUUUGGCCCAGUCCUCCUUUGUGCUCUUUUCUCUGGCUGAAACACUUCUUCAGUUGGGUCAGCUGCAUUACUCAGCCUUCAUCAAAGUCCUAGAAUGUCUUCCUUCCCUCAGCCCUCUUUGUCCUUAUUAUUUUGGGUGGAAAUGAACUUAUUUUGGGAAAAAAAUGUCGUACUACCAUUUUGUUUCAGACAGAUGAUGAGGCAUUUAAGCUUAAUACAAUAUGCUAACCCAUUGAGCAAUUUAAAAAAAAAACACUCUAAA